Molecule: ribosomal RNA, 119 nt
Filed under: Amphilophus citrinellus (Midas cichlid)
Lineage: Eukaryota; Metazoa; Chordata; Actinopteri; Cichliformes; Cichlidae
Source: RNAcentral
GCUUACAGCCAUACCACCCUGAACCCGCCCAAUCUUGUCUGAUCUCGGAGGGUAAGCAGGGUCGGGUCUGUUUAGUAUAUGGUUGGGAGACCACCUAGGAAUACCAGGUGCUGUAAGCU